GCAGUUGUUUGGGCUGUCGCUGUGGCUGGUUCUGCGGUGUGCGGCCAGCCAUGGAGCGCUCUGGGCCCAGCGAAGUGACAGGCUCAGACGCAUCGGGACCGGACCCGCAGCUUGUGGUCACCAUGGGCUUCACGGGGUUCGGGGUUCGGUAAAAAAGCUCACACAUUUGACUUGGAAGCAAUGUUUGAACAAACUCAAAGAACAGCUGUGGAAAGAAGUCACAAAACACUGGGAUGGUGAUUGCUCACACCAAAGCCUUGGACCCCUCCCAGCCUGUGACCUUUGUGACCAACGUCACCUAUGCAGCAGACAAGGGGGCUCUGUAUGUGGAUGUGAUCCGUGUGAACAGCUACUACUCUUGGUAUCGCAACUACGGGCACCUGGAGUUGAUUCAGCUGCAGCUGGCCACCCAGUUUGAGAAUUGGUGUAAGACAUCACAAUCCCAUUAUUCAGAGCGCGUAUGGAGUGGAAACGCUUGUAGGGUUUCACCAGUUCUGCAGGCUGGAAAUCCAAGAUGAAGUCACCUGUAGUUCAGUGUCUGCGUCUAAGAGAGCACUUUGUUGCUGCACCCGCCAGAGGGAAGAAAUACUGUAUCUUCUCAUGAAGGAAGGAACCGAAGGUUUACAAGUAUUGUGGCUGAAGGCUGUGUCUAUUCCUGCUUCCUCCACCUCACCUUGCAAAAGUGUUUAUCCAAAUAAAUCCCUCACACAUCUAAUCCCAUUUUGGCAAAUUCAGUUUCAGAACUUUGCCUUCACUACUAGUCUCAAGGAAAAUAUAUUAAUACACACACACACACACACAUGCAUGCACACACACACACAUAUGUAUAUAUUUCCCAAUCUAUUAUAGGUAAAAUAUACUCUUAUCACGAAUAAAUCCAAAUUGUGAAUGCUUAAAAUAUACUUUACAGAAUAUUAAAAUUUAAAAGCAUCACAGGAAAAAUAUUAAUACUGUUUUCAGAAUUUCAGUAUGUGAAUAAUAUUUACAUUACAGUUUCAUAUGAACCUUUUACUUCUCUAUUUAGUAUGCCUUCAUGUCACUGCAGAGGUAUGAAAAGGAGAGCUCUCCUAGUUGUGAAAAAAGAAACAUGUUUUAUUGGGAGCUAAGUGGAAGGUUGAACAUGUGGGAAUAUCUGGGCAUGCACUGAAGACACCUUUUGCAUCUCCCCCAUCCACAUAGCAAAGUGAAUGUGGUUUGUGUCCAUUUAUGCAGGAUACUCUGGAAAACCAAACUGAAGCAAGGUUAACAUACAUUUUUAAAAGAAAACUAAAGGAAAACAACACAUACUUUAUUACCUAUCAAAGUAACCACUUCAUUAUAUUUUAGUGGAAGCUAUUAUUUAUUAUCGAAUUAUUUGCUUGGGCAGGAGGAUACAGGGUUUUUCCAUUUGGGUUGUAUAUGUUCCUCAUGAGAAAAGCUGAAGACAAAAUCUUACCCUUCUGCCCAAAGUCAAUUGAAUCAACAUGUUUACCUUGCUCCACGGAGCUGCUAACCUACUGGCUGGGUGUUGUGUGGCUUGGCAAUGGAGUUCUGCAUGACAGGAACAAUGGUUUUUAAGUGGACUAAUCAGAGCUAUUAAUGCAUAUGCAGUGAAGGCAGGAACUUUGCUACAUGCAGGGCUUAUCAUUUUGCUAAUAACAAUGCCUGGCACAGAUUAGCGAUGUGUUGAAAUAAAACAUAUUCUGGGAGAUAUAAGAUAGAGAAAGAGAGCAGCAUGUAGUAGAAAUAGAUGUCGAAAGAUGAAUUAAGAUGAUGCAUUAAGCUUGAAACGUGAGGCAGAGAAAGCUGUACAUAAGUUGAAGGCUUUGAGUUAAAAGACUAUAGGAAUUAGAUGAGUGGGGGCUAUGGAGAACAGAGAGAAUUUAGAGUGUGGACAAGUGUUCUAUGAGCAGAGACUGGGACUAGCCAAAACGUGAUGAUGGGCAGCUAGCUUGGAAAGAAUGCUUACAACGUGAAAAUUAUAUAUUUAUAAAAGGCCAUUACUUCUGUUAAAGAACAAUAGACCCCAGUGAAAAGAAAGGAAAUUGAAAAAUAGAGAAAAUGUGGAGAAAACUAGAAUCUCUAUAGACAGCGUCAAUGCAGCAUCAAUUAUAUGAACCACUUUUGAGCACAAAGAACUAUUGUUUUGACCUUGGAGGCAAUUUGGUCUUCAUUAGGUUUAGCUGUAGGAUAGUUGAUGUUCAUUAUUCCCUAUAACACUUGUGAUGGCAAAACCUUCACAAAUUUAUAUGAUCUAGGUAUGUUUUCAAUCCUUACAACCCAAAUAACCGAUCAUAACUCUCACUAUGUCAUUUGAAAAAAAAAAUGAUCAUCAGAAGUGUAAUUCAAUUAGCAAGUAUCAGUAGUGGAGUAUAAAUUAUUAUUGGUUAAUACUAAGUAUGAUUGAAAAAUCGUAGUAGAUGGAAAUAUGGGAAUCUUUAUUUUGGAUGAAUAAA
Molecule: long non-coding RNA, 2435 nt
Filed under: Homo sapiens (human)
Lineage: Eukaryota; Metazoa; Chordata; Mammalia; Primates; Hominidae
Description: non-protein coding lnc-RAB23-53:11
Source: RNAcentral